RNAcentral lists this ribosomal RNA (3027 nucleotides) under Salmonella enterica subsp. enterica serovar Heidelberg. RNAcentral's name for it is "bacterial LSU rRNA". It matches the Rfam family "Bacterial large subunit ribosomal RNA". The record is from RNAcentral. Lineage: Bacteria; Pseudomonadati; Pseudomonadota; Gammaproteobacteria; Enterobacterales; Enterobacteriaceae.
GGGUUGUGAGGUUAAGCGACUAAGCGUACACGGUGGAUGCCCUGGCAGUCAGAGGCGAUGAAGGGCGUGCUAAUCUGCGAUAAGCGCCGGUAAGGUGAUAUGAACCGUUAUAACCGGCGAUACCCGAAUGGGGAAACCCAGUGUGACUCGUCACACUAUCAUUAACUGAAUCCAUAGGUUAAUGAGGCGAACCGGGGGAACUGAAACAUCUAAGUACCCCGAGGAAAAGAAAUCAACCGAGAUUCCCCCAGUAGCGGCGAGCGAACGGGGAGGAGCCCAGAGCCUGAAUCAGCAUGUGUGUUAGUGGAAGCGUCUGGAAAGGCGCGCGAUACAGGGUGACAGCCCCGUACACAAAAGCGCAUGUGCUGUGAGCUCGAUGAGUAGGGCGGGACACGUGGUAUCCUGUCUGAAUAUGGGGGGACCAUCCUCCAAGGCUAAAUACUCCUGACUGACCGAUAGUGAACCAGUACCGUGAGGGAAAGGCGAAAAGAACCCCGGCGAGGGGAGUGAAAAAGAACCUGAAACCGUGUACGUACAAGCAGUGGGAGCCCCACCACUAAGCCAGUGGUGAACUCCACAUACGCAUCCUUUGCUGAGGAUACGGUUAACGGAGCGAAAGCGACGUUCAACCGCAAAAGAAGCAGAGGGGGCUUAGUGGUGGGGUGACUGCGUACCUUUUGUAUAAUGGGUCAGCGACUUAUAUUCUGUAGCAAGGUUAACCGAAUAGGGGAGCCGGAGGGAAACCGAGUCUUAAUUGGGCGUUAAGUUGCAGGGUAUAGACCCGAAACCCGGUGAUCUAGCCAUGGGCAGGUUGAAGGUUGGGUAACACUAACUGGAGGACCGAACCGACUAAUGUUGAAAAAUUAGCGGAUGACCUGUGGCUGGGGGUGAAAGGCCAAUCAAACCGGGAGAUAGCUGGUUCUCCCCGAAAGCUAUUUAGGUAGCGCUUCGUGAAUUCAUCUCCGGGGGUAGAGCACUGUUUCGGCUAGGGGGCCAUCCCGGCUUACCAACCCGAUGCAAACUGCGAAUACCGGAGAAUGUUAUCACGGGAGACACACGGCGGGUGCUAACGUCCGUCGUGAAGAGGGAAACAACCCAGACCGCCAGCUAAGGUCCCAAAGUCAUGGUUAAGUGGGAAACGAUGUGGGAAGGCCCAGACAGCCAGGAUGUUGGCUUAGAAGCAGCCAUCAUUUAAAGAAAGCGUAAUAGCUCACUGGUCGAGUCGGCCUGCGCGGAAGAUGUAACGGGGCUAAACCAUGCACCGAAGCUGCGGCAGCGACACUGUGUGUUGUUGGGUAGGGGAGCGUUCUGUAAGCCUGUGAAGGUGUGUCGUGAGGCAUGCUGGAGGUAUCAGAAGUGCGAAUGCUGACAUAAGUAACGAUAAAGCGGGUGAAAAGCCCGCUCGCCGGAAGACCAAGGGUUCCUGUCCAACGUUAAUCGGGGCAGGGUGAGUCGACCCCUAAGGCGAGGCCGAAAGGCGUAGUCGAUGGGAAACGGGUUAAUAUUCCCGUACUUGGUGUUACUGCGAAGGGGGGACGGAGAAGGCUAUGUUGGCCGGGCGACGGUUGUCCCGGUUUAAGCGUGUAGGUGUGUGUUCCAGGUAAAUCCGGUUCACUUUAACACUGAGGCGUGACGACGAGGCACUACGGUGCUGAAGCAACAAAUGCCCUGCUUCCAGGAAAAGCCUCUAAGCAUCAGGUAACAUCAAAUCGUACCCCAAACCGACACAGGUGGUCAGGUAGAGAAUACCAAGGCGCUUGAGAGAACUCGGGUGAAGGAACUAGGCAAAAUGGUGCCGUAACUUCGGGAGAAGGCACGCUGACACGUAGGUGAAGUGAUUUACUCAUGGAGCUGAAGUCAGUCGAAGAUACCAGCUGGCUGCAACUGUUUAUUAAAAACACAGCACUGUGCAAACACGAAAGUGGACGUAUACGGUGUGACGCCUGCCCGGUGCCGGAAGGUUAAUUGAUGGGGUCAGCGCAAGCGAAGCUCCUGAUCGAAGCCCCGGUAAACGGCGGCCGUAACUAUAACGGUCCUAAGGUAGCGAAAUUCCUUGUCGGGUAAGUUCCGACCUGCACGAAUGGCGUAAUGAUGGCCAGGCUGUCUCCACCCGAGACUCAGUGAAAUUGAACUCGCUGUGAAGAUGCAGUGUACCCGCGGCAAGACGGAAAGACCCCGUGAACCUUUACUAUAGCUUGACACUGAACAUUGAGCCUUGAUGUGUAGGAUAGGUGGGAGGCUUUGAAGUGUGGACGCCAGUCUGCAUGGAGCCGACCUUGAAAUACCACCCUUUAAUGUUUGAUGUUCUAACGUGGACCCGUUACCCGGGUUGCGGACAGUGUCUGGUGGGUAGUUUGACUGGGGCGGUCUCCUCCUAAAGAGUAACGGAGGAGCACGAAGGUUGGCUAAUCCUGGUCGGACAUCAGGAGGUUAGUGCAAUGGCAUAAGCCAGCUUGACUGCGAGCGUGACGGCGCGAGCAGGUGCGAAAGCAGGUCAUAGUGAUCCGGUGGUUCUGAAUGGAAGGGCCAUCGCUCAACGGAUAAAAGGUACUCCGGGGAUAACAGGCUGAUACCGCCCAAGAGUUCAUAUCGACGGCGGUGUUUGGCACCUCGAUGUCGGCUCAUCACAUCCUGGGGCUGAAGUAGGUCCCAAGGGUAUGGCUGUUCGCCAUUUAAAGUGGUACGCGAGCUGGGUUUAGAACGUCGUGAGACAGUUCGGUCCCUAUCUGCCGUGGGCGCUGGAGAACUGAGGGGGGCUGCUCCUAGUACGAGAGGACCGGAGUGGACGCAUCACUGGUGUUCGGGUUGUCAUGCCAAUGGCACUGCCCGGUAGCUAAAUGCGGAAGAGAUAAGUGCUGAAAGCAUCUAAGCACGAAACUUGCCCCGAGAUGAGUUCUCCCUGAGACUUAGAGUCUCCUGAAGGAACGUUGAAGACGACGACGUUGAUAGGCCGGGUGUGUAAGCGCAGCGAUGCGUUGAGCUAACCGGUACUAAUGAACCGUGAGGCUUAACCUUACAACGCCGAAG